This 156-nucleotide long non-coding RNA is filed under the name Mustela putorius furo (domestic ferret). RNAcentral's name for it is "lncRNA (ENSMPUG00000027137.1)". The record is from RNAcentral. Lineage: Eukaryota; Metazoa; Chordata; Mammalia; Carnivora; Mustelidae.
CUCCUGCAGGCUGCGUGAGUGUUCCUUGUUCCUGUGUGGUGCUUCCAAGGGAGAGGAGGCCAGGAAGCCUGGACUGACCUGACUCAGGAGGAAAGGAAACCAGAUGUGCACAUUUCAAUCGGAUGAUCCCUCCAUAGCUCCAAGGAGAGAAACGGA